CCUACGGGAGGCAGCAGUGAGGAAUAUUUGUCAAUGGGCGCGAGCCUGAACCAGCCAAGUAGCGUGAAGGAUGACUGCCCUACGGGUUGUAAACUUCUUUUAUAAAGGAAUAAAGUGCGGCAUGUGUGCUUCUUUGGAUGUACUUUAUGAAUAAGGAUCGGCUAACUCCGUGCCCGCAGCCGCGGUAAUACGGAGGAUACGAGCGUUAUCCGGAUUUAUUGGGUUUAAAGGGAGCGUAGGUGGGUUGUUAAGUCAGUUGUGAAAGUUUGCGGCUCAACCGUAAAAUUGCAGUUGAUACUGGCAGUCUUGAGUACAGUUGAGGUAGGCGGAAUUCGUGGUGUAGCGGUGAAAUGCUUAGAUAUCACGAAGAACUCCGAUUGCGAAGGCAGCUUGCUAAACUGCCACUGACAUUGAUGCUCGAAAGUGUGGGUAUCAAACAGGAUUAGAUACCCGAGUAGUC
This 460-nucleotide ribosomal RNA is filed under the name uncultured bacterium. Its description in RNAcentral is "partial 16S ribosomal RNA". It matches the Rfam family "Bacterial small subunit ribosomal RNA", at positions 338 to 795 of the family's 1533-position model. The record is from RNAcentral.